Molecule: ribosomal RNA, 253 nt
Filed under: uncultured bacterium
Lineage: Bacteria
Description: partial 16S ribosomal RNA
Rfam family: Bacterial small subunit ribosomal RNA
Source: RNAcentral
UACGUAGGGGGCAAGCGUUGUCCGGAAUUCUUGGGCGUAAAGAGCGUGUAGGCGGUCCGGUAAGUCAGCUGUGAAAGUCAAGGGCUCAACCCUUGAAUGCCGGUUGAUACUGUCGGGCUAGAGUCCGGAAGAGGCGAGUGGAAUUCCCGGUGUAGCGGUGAAAUGCGCAGAUAUCGGGAGGAACACCAAUGGCGAAGGCAGCUCGCUGGGACGGUACUGACGCUGAGACGCGAAAGCGUGGGGAGCAAACAGG